UUGAGUCUCCUGAAGGAACGUUAAAGACUAUGACGUUGAUAGGUCGGGUGUGUAAGCGCAGCGAUGCGUUGAGCUAACCGAUACUAAUGAACCGUGAGGCUUAACCUU
RNAcentral lists this ribosomal RNA (108 nucleotides) under Enterobacter hormaechei. RNAcentral's name for it is "partial 23S ribosomal RNA". It matches the Rfam family "Bacterial large subunit ribosomal RNA", at positions 2819 to 2925 of the family's 2925-position model. Lineage: Bacteria; Pseudomonadati; Pseudomonadota; Gammaproteobacteria; Enterobacterales; Enterobacteriaceae. RNAcentral also lists the same sequence under 2 other names. The record is from RNAcentral.